UUCUUGCAAACUAAAGAUGGCGACCGGCGCACGGGUGAGUAACACGUAUCCAACCUGCCGAUAACUCGGGGAUAGCCUUUCGAAAGAAAGAUUAAUAUCCGAUAGUAUAUUAAAACCGCAUGGUUUUACUAUUAAAGAAUUUCGGUUAUCGAUGGGGAUGCGUUCCAUUAGUUUGUUGGCGGGGUAACGGCCCACCAAGACUACGAUGGAUAGGGGUUCUGAGAGGAAGGUCCCCCACAUUGGUACUGAGACACGGACCAA
This 261-nucleotide ribosomal RNA is filed under the name uncultured bacterium. Its description in RNAcentral is "partial 16S ribosomal RNA". It matches the Rfam family "Bacterial small subunit ribosomal RNA", at positions 72 to 334 of the family's 1533-position model. The record is from RNAcentral.